Molecule: ribosomal RNA, 468 nt
Filed under: uncultured bacterium
Lineage: Bacteria
Description: partial 16S ribosomal RNA
Rfam family: Bacterial small subunit ribosomal RNA
Source: RNAcentral
GACGAACGCUGGCGGCGUGCUUAACACAUGCAAGUCGAACGGAAAGGCCCUGCUUUUGUGUGGUGCUCGAGUGGCGAACGGGUGAGUAACACGUGAGUAACCUUCCCUUUACUUUGGGAUAACUUCAGUAAACUGGUGCUAAUACCGGAUAGGUGCUCCUGCUGCAUGGGGGGGUUUGGAAAGUUUCGGCGGUUGGGGAUGUACUCGCGGCUUAUCAGCUUGUUGGUGGGGUAGUGGCUUACCAAGGCUUUGACGGGUAGCCGGCCUGAGAGGGUGACCGGCCACAUUGGGACUGAGAUAGGGAGCAGACUCGUACGGGAGGCAGAAGUGGGGAAUAUUGCACAAUGGGCGGAAGCCUGAUGAAGCAACGCCGGGUGCGGGAUGACGGCCUUCGGGUUGUAAACAGCUUUAGCCUGUGACGAAGCGUGAGUGACGGUAAUGGGUAAAGAAGCACCGGCUAACUACGUG